This 392-nucleotide ribosomal RNA is filed under the name uncultured bacterium. RNAcentral describes it as "partial 16S ribosomal RNA". It matches the Rfam family "Bacterial small subunit ribosomal RNA", at positions 523 to 918 of the family's 1533-position model. The record is from RNAcentral.
AUACGGAGGAUCCGAGCGUUAUCCGGAUUUAUUGGGUUUAAAGGGUGCGCAGGCGGCCAUUUAAGUCAGCGGUUAAAUCGUGGGGCUCAACCCCAUUCUGCCGUUGAUACUGGGUGGCUUGACUGCGGUCGAGGUUGGCGGAAUUCGUUGUGUAGCGGGGAAAUGCAUAGAUAUGACGAAGAACACCGAUUGCGUAGGCAGCUGACCAGACCGCAAAUGACGCUCAUGCACGAAAGUGCGGGGAUCGAACAGGAUUAGAUACCCUGGUAGUCCGCACAGUAAACGAUGAAUACUUGUUUUCGGCGAUAUAAUGUCGGAGGCAAAGCGAAAGCGAUAAGUAUUCCACCUGGGGAGUACGCCGGCAACGGUGAAACUCAAAUGAAUUGACGGGG